This 207-nucleotide ribosomal RNA is filed under the name uncultured bacterium. Its description in RNAcentral is "partial 16S ribosomal RNA". It matches the Rfam family "Bacterial small subunit ribosomal RNA", at positions 568 to 774 of the family's 1533-position model. The record is from RNAcentral.
CGUUCAGGCGGUUUGGCAAGUCGGGCAUGAAAUCUCCUGGCUCAACCAGGAGAGGCUGUCCGAUACUUCCAGACUUGAGGGCAGUAGAGGGUGGUGGAAUUCCGGGUGUAGUGGUGAAAUGCGUAGAUAUCCGGAGGAACACCUGUGGCGAAAGCGGCCACCUGGACUGCUCCUGACGCUGAAACGCGAAAGCUAGGGGAGCGAACG